CUCUCUCCUUUAUCCUCUCCAUUUCGACGGUGAAUCGGUGAUGAAGAAAACCCUGCCUUUUUUUUGAUCACCCACAUACAGCUUCUCUUCCUCUUUAUUCUCUUGAUCUUCUUAUAUGAUGCAACUCCGCAUCCACAACGCACAAUCCUUAAUGCUUGAGCACCACUACCAUCACCAAUUCAACCGCCACUAGGACUACCUUCUUCUUCUUAGAACCCGAUCUCUUGUUGAAUAUCUUUAGUAGAUACCGUAGAUCCAGUAAUUAUAUUUGUUAUCUAGGGUUUCAAUUACAGAGAUGAGCAAGAGAUUACUUUGAUUAAUCUACAGGAGGAUUCAAAUUGAGAAAACACAUGUAGAAAACCCUUUCCCAAAUUUUGUUCUUAAUCAGAUGCAGGAACUCCCUUAGGUAUUUCAAUUUGUGAACCUUCUCCGUUUGUCUUAGCGAACUGUAGAGUUUUUGAUGUUGAGAUUUCUGCGGAAGUAUAGCUAACUCUCGUGCCUUCAGGGAGAUAUUGUUGUAAUAGAACAAAGCUUUGGUGCACCUAAAGUGACUAAAGAUGGUAUCACCGUUACUGAAAGCAUUUAGUUCAAGGACAGAAGUAAGAACAUUGGUGCCAGCCUUGUAAAGCAAGUAGCAAAUGCCACCAACAAUAUAGCUGGUGAUGACUGUGUUAUAUGUGCAGGUCAGUUAUGAUAUUCAUUACAUCAUUUGUCAAUGUCUUUGUCGGCACUUAAGAGUAUAGUUCUGACUUUGUACCAAUUGUUGAAGGAAACUACACUAUUACAACCCAGAAGCUGAAAUGGAUGACAACAUCAGGAAAGCCAGUUCACAAAUAUUGAAGGAAGCUACACUACUUCGUUUCUGUCAUUGUUAACAAUCUUUACGCCAAUGCCUUUACUCCGCAGAGGAAGAUGCUGACAUCGACUUCUAACAAACUCUCCUUAAUAAACUAUGGAAACUCCCCUUAACAAACUACAGUCUGAAUUCGACCACCACAUCUUACUUCCUUUGGUUGACAACUAAAAGUUGCAUCGAGUCUGUUAUUUUUUUCAUACCACAUCUUACUUCCUUUGGUUCUGAAUAUGAAGUUGAUGUUAUGGUUUUAAUAUUUUUUAAUUUGUUUUUGAUGUUGUAGUUGUGUAGAAGACCUUAAGGCUCAGUUGCUUGAAUUUGUGAACAAUUGGAAGUCUUAUCCAUUGUUCUUAUGUCGAGUUUGUUUGGAGUGCUUUUAUACUAGCUUCCUUUUGCAUCA
Long non-coding RNA from Papaver somniferum (opium poppy), 1253 nucleotides. RefSeq lists it as uncharacterized. The record is from RefSeq and is a predicted model, not a curated record. The transcript is spliced from 5 exons. NCBI's taxonomy places the organism in Eukaryota, Viridiplantae, Streptophyta, Magnoliopsida, Ranunculales, Papaveraceae.